CACGCCGUAAACGAUGAGUGCUAGGUGUUGGGGAGACUCAGUGCCGCAGCUAACGCAAUAAGCACUCCGCCUGGGGAGUACGACCGCAAGGUUGAAACUCAAAGGAAUUGACGGGGACCCGCACAAGCAGCGGAGCAUGUGGUUUAAUUCGAAGCAACGCGAAGAACCUUACCAGGUCUUGACAUCCUCUGACAAUCCGAGAGAUCGGACUUUCCCUUCGGGGACAGAGAGACAGGUGG
This 239-nucleotide ribosomal RNA is filed under the name uncultured bacterium. Its description in RNAcentral is "partial 16S ribosomal RNA". It matches the Rfam family "Bacterial small subunit ribosomal RNA", at positions 796 to 1041 of the family's 1533-position model. The record is from RNAcentral.